CCCAACUAUCCCUAUUAAUCAUUACGUCGAUCCUAGAAACCAACAAAAUAGGGUCAAACGUCCUAUUUCAUUAUUCCAUGCUAAUGUAUUCAAGCGCGAGCCUGCUUUAAACACUCUAAUUUUUUCAAAGUAACAGUCCUGAUUCCCCGCCACACCAACUUAAUGACAUGACGGUUCUUCAGAAGGGAGAAACCAGUGACACCAGUGCAUACCGAAGGCACGACCAGCGUACUGAUCUCGAAAUUCAACUACGAGCUUUUUAACUGCAACAACUUUAAUAUACGCUAUUGGAGCUGGAAUUACCGCGGCUGCUGGCACCAGACUUGCCCUCCAA
RNAcentral lists this unclassified non-coding RNA (334 nucleotides) under uncultured Glomeraceae. Its description in RNAcentral is "sequence contains 18S rRNA gene". Lineage: Eukaryota; Fungi; Glomeromycota; Glomeromycetes; Glomerales; Glomeraceae. The record is from RNAcentral.